Molecule: ribosomal RNA, 167 nt
Filed under: Chologaster cornuta
Lineage: Eukaryota; Metazoa; Chordata; Actinopteri; Percopsiformes; Amblyopsidae
Description: partial 12S rRNA
Source: RNAcentral
CACCGCGGUUAUACGAGCGACUCGAGUUGACAACGCUCGGCGUAAAGCGUGGUUAAGGAAAAAGCCCAUAGAGCCAAACCACUACUAAGCCGUCAUACGUACUCGAAGAAGUGAAGCCCCACCACGAAAGUAGCUCUAACUCCCCCGACCCCACGAAAGCCAUUAAA